GAAGAAAUACUUUGCUUGGAACGUUACAGUUUUUCUCAAUUGCUAAAACACUAAACCCUAUUGUCUGAACCAAAUGCUCAGUUGCCUGAACCCACUGAUUGAAUCAAUCACUCUUUUGGCAAAACCAUAAGCACUUUUCACCUGUUUAGACACAACUUGCAAACACAUUUUCAUUGUGAUGCACCCGUGCUGCAUAAUGGUGAGCACAGGUGACAAAAGUCAAACACAAUUAAAGCACAGGUGUCACCACUUGAA
This is a long non-coding RNA of Sander lucioperca (pikeperch), 255 nucleotides long. RefSeq lists it as uncharacterized. NCBI's taxonomy places the organism in Eukaryota, Metazoa, Chordata, Actinopteri, Perciformes, Percidae. The record is from RefSeq and is a predicted model, not a curated record. The transcript has 3 exons.